CCUACGGGAGGCAGCAGUGGGGAAUAUUGCACAAUGGGCGAAACCCUGAUGCAGCAACGCCGCGUGAGUGAGGAAGUAUUUCGGUAUGUAAAGCUCUAUCAGCAGGGAAUAAAAAUUAAGGUACCGGAAAAAGAAGACCCGGCUAACUACGUACCAGCAGCCGCGGUAAUACGUAGGGGGCAAGCGUUAUCCGGAUUUACUGGGUGUAAAGGGAGCGUGGACGGGUAGGCAAGUCAGAAGUGAAAACCCUAGGCUCAAACAAGGGACUGCUUUUGAAACUGUCAAACUAGAGUACGGGAGAGGUAAGAGGAAUUCCUAGUGUAGCGGUGAAAUGCGUAGAUAUUAGGAGGAACACCAGUGGCGAAGGCGUCUUACUGGACCGAAACUGACGUUGAGGCUCGAAAGCGUGGGGAGCAAACAGGAUUAGAUACCCUAGUAGUC
RNAcentral lists this ribosomal RNA (441 nucleotides) under uncultured bacterium. RNAcentral describes it as "partial 16S ribosomal RNA". It matches the Rfam family "Bacterial small subunit ribosomal RNA", at positions 338 to 795 of the family's 1533-position model. The record is from RNAcentral.